AGAGACACAGACCCAGGCAUGAGCGGAAAUCUACACAAGACAGAACUUUAUUAAUGGAAGGCUUCUUGACACUCGGCGUUGGCACACCACUGAGCGGCUACGCACACCAGCAUCACAGCUACGGCUGCAGCGGGACCAGUUACCUACAACCCAACUGUGGUGAUGGAGGUCUGAGCACUGUGUAGGGCAGGCCAGAACCAGAAAGCCUUCUGAUUUGACUACCCCAGUCUUCCCAAACUGACACUGGGCAGGCAGGAGACCCCAUUCAUAGAUCACCACUACCCUAUGUCCAGAUUUCAGAUAGGAGGUGGGGAUCUAAAGAGAACCCAUGUUUUGAGCUACUAGCUUGACCAUAGAGCAUAAUCACUCGGACUGUAGAACAAUCAAUUUUGUCUUAAUUGUUUUUUUGGCGCAUGUGUGUGUGUGUAAACAUGUGUGACCUUGAGUGUCUCCCUGUACUUAGGUUUAUCUAUGUGUUUAACUGUGUGUAUGUCUAUGUGAAUAUGUGCACACAUGUAUAUGUUGGUACCUGUGAGGGCACAGAAGUGCCCUUGGAGCUGGAGUAACAGUCACUUGUGAUCUACCAGACACUGGGCUCUGAGCUCCUUAUAAUUAAAAAGCUAGUACUCUU
RNAcentral lists this long non-coding RNA (631 nucleotides) under Rattus norvegicus (Norway rat). Its description in RNAcentral is "long non-coding RNA NONRATT026595". The record is from RNAcentral. Lineage: Eukaryota; Metazoa; Chordata; Mammalia; Rodentia; Muridae.